AGUGGCCUUGCUGCCACGAUCCACUGAGAUUCAGCCCUUUGUCGCUAAGAUUCGACCCUCCCCUAAAUCACUCCAAAAAAAACAAUCCCCAAUUCUACACAAGUGUUUCUACACUAACAAAGCAACAGCUCCUUAACGAAUUCCCAACUUUACACGAGCUCGUCUCUCGAGGUUAAAUGUUAUUACUUGGUAAGAUUCCGGACCUCGCCAAGUGUUUUGAAAACCCGCAACGCUCGCAAAGGUGCAUAGUGAGAAGAAUAAGUGAAGAGACAGACUUGUCCAAAACGCUCACGAAGGUGCAUAGUGAGAAGAGUAAGUCAAGAGACAGACUUGUCCAAAAAGAAACAAAAGAGAAUGCUUGGGGUUACACUCACGAAGGUGCAUAGUGAGAAGAGUAAGUCAAGAGCAGACUUGUUCAAAAAGAACCAGAAGAAAUGCUUGGGGAGAUAGAAGUGUGAGAUAGUUCUCAAGCUAAGAAAGUUGUAAAAGCUAAGAACUAGCAUCAAAUGAUGGAUGAAACACAAGGUAGUUGUUGAAAAGUCAAACACUUGGUGAUAUGAACACAAACGUUCAAUAUGACAAACCCAUGCCAAGUAAAGAGAAAAUGAAAACUGGUGAUUGUUGCGGAAAUCGUCCAGGAUUCCUCGACCAGGACUUGAAAUCGUCGAGGGAAAAUAAUCGGUUCCGAGGAAUCGUCGAUCCGGACUUGGAAUCGUCGAGAAAAGUUUACCGGGUCCGAGGAAUCGUCGAU
Molecule: unclassified non-coding RNA, 751 nt
Filed under: Arabidopsis thaliana (thale cress)
Lineage: Eukaryota; Viridiplantae; Streptophyta; Magnoliopsida; Brassicales; Brassicaceae
Description: 3' external transcribed spacer
Source: RNAcentral